AUGAUGAGUGCAGAGCGCAGUUGUCCGGAGAUGGUCCUCUGGGGAAUUUCUCCGCCUUUUGUGAAGUGGGUGCUGAUGUCCUGUGGAUCGCCUCUGACUGUGGACAUCGCGGACGACACUAGCCCCACUCCAGACCCAGAGCCCAGCCCACCAUCUCCCCACUGCGCGGAGCAAAAGCCAGAUCCCACUGCUGACGGAGAGCCCACUGCAACGUGGCUAAGGCCUCCCUCUCCUGCCUCCUAUCAUCGAUACCACUUCAGCUCUGCCACCGCUGUGUCCUGGCAGCCCCUCAGUUCACCCUCAGCCCACAAUCUGUGCACUGGACUUGCUGCGGGUCUGCCACUCUCCAUCGGCGUCAUGGCUGGGGGAUCCCUUGUCUUUGCCUCUGAGUCCUGGACUCCGCCUCGGCCCUUCAACCCAGUGGCUCCACCAUGGCUCCUAGCCAUGGCCCGAUGGUCCAUCAGCUCCGCCGGGCUCCCUCGUCCCUCCGGCUCUACCUUGGUCUGUCGUCGACCAUCCGCUGCCUCAGGACUCCACUCCUCCUGCUCCACCUCGUCCCUCUGGAACUGUCAGGCUCCUCCUGCCUUCUGGAUCCUCGAUGUCGCCCUGGCUCAUCGGCUCCCCGUCUCCACCUCGGGCUCCUCCUCCACCUGCUCCGCCGCCAUCGGUCGGCCCCCUGGAGUCGUCGGCCCUUCCUUCACUAUGGCGCCUACCUCCGUUGGCUCCACCGUGGGCCACCAGCAUAGCUGUGGCCUGGGUACCGCCUGGCUCCUCCUCCGGCUCCCUCCUGUCAUCUUCCUGGCUCCUUCCUCCAUUUUCACUCCAUGGACUCUGUUGGUCAUCCUUCUCCCGGGACUCUGUCCUUUGCCCAAACCUCCACCUGUACAGGUUUCCAGCCAUCCCUCCAUCUCCUUCCUUCUCCAUGGUGUGGGGUCGCCCCUUCCGGGAGGGGGGGGCAAUCUGUCACACCCUAGGCCUGUUUUCAUUCCUCAUGUUUUCUGUGUGACUUAG
Molecule: long non-coding RNA, 1011 nt
Organism: Cyprinus carpio carpio
Lineage: Eukaryota; Metazoa; Chordata; Actinopteri; Cypriniformes; Cyprinidae
Source: Ensembl